UACGUAGGUGGCAAGCGUUGUCCGGAUUUACUGGGUUUAAAGGGUGUGUAGGCGGGUCUUUAAGUCAGUGGUGAAAUCUCCGAGCUUAACUUGGAAACUGCCAUUGAUACUAUUGAUCUUGAAUUUUGUUGAGGUAGGCGGAAUAAGUCAUGUAGCGGUGAAAUGCAUAGAUAUGACUUAGAACACCAAUUGCGAAGGCAGCUUGCUAAACAAAUAUUGACGCUGAGGCACGAAAGCGUGGGGAUCAAACAGG
This 253-nucleotide ribosomal RNA is filed under the name uncultured bacterium. RNAcentral's name for it is "partial 16S ribosomal RNA". It matches the Rfam family "Bacterial small subunit ribosomal RNA", at positions 524 to 776 of the family's 1533-position model. The record is from RNAcentral.